This 329-nucleotide unclassified non-coding RNA is filed under the name soil metagenome. Its description in RNAcentral is "partial contains 5.8S ribosomal RNA, internal transcribed spacer 2, and large subunit ribosomal RNA". The stretch from base 1 to 120 matches the Rfam family "5.8S ribosomal RNA", at positions 35 to 154 of the family's 154-position model. The record is from RNAcentral.
GAUGAAGAACGUAGCGAAAUGCGAUAAGUAAUGUGAAUUGCAGAAUUCAGUGAAUCAUCGAAUCUUUGAACGCACAUUGCGCCCUCUGGUAUUCCGGGGGGCAUGCCUGUUCGAGCGUCAUUAUAACCACUCAAGCUCUCGCUUGGUAUUGGGGCUCGCGGUUCCGCGGCCCCUAAAAUCAGUGGCGGUGCCUGUCGGCUCUACGCGUAGUAAUACUCCUCGCGAUUGAGUCCGGUAGGUCUACUUGCCAGCAACCCCCAAUUUUUACAGUUUGACCUCGGAUCAGGUAGGGAUACCCGCUGAACUUAAGCAUAUCAAUAAGCGGAGGA